CGCGUAGGUGGUUCGAUGAGUCGGAGGUGAAAUCCCUCGGCUCAACCGAGGACCCGCGUCCGAUACUGUCGAACUUGAGUGCAGGAGAGGAGAGCGGAAUUCCCAGUGUAGCGGUGAAAUGCGUAGAUAUUGGGAGGAACACCGGUGGCGAAGGCGGCUCUCUGGACUGUUACUGACACUGAGGCGCGAAAGCUAGGGGAGCAAACGGGAUUAGAUACCCCGGUAGUCCUAGCCGUAAACGAUGGGCACUAGGUGUGGGAGGUAUCGACCCCUUCCGUGCCGCAGCUAACGCAUUAAGUGCCCCGCCUGGGAGUACGGCCGCAAGGUUGA
RNAcentral lists this ribosomal RNA (330 nucleotides) under uncultured bacterium. RNAcentral's name for it is "bacterial SSU rRNA". It matches the Rfam family "Bacterial small subunit ribosomal RNA", at positions 568 to 897 of the family's 1533-position model. The record is from RNAcentral.